Molecule: unclassified non-coding RNA, 209 nt
Filed under: uncultured Sistotrema
Lineage: Eukaryota; Fungi; Basidiomycota; Agaricomycetes; Corticiales; Corticiaceae
Description: sequence contains ITS2
Source: RNAcentral
AGCUAUCAAACAUCUAGUUUUUUUAAUUAGAUGGUUGGAUUUGGACUCUGCUGUGUAACAAACGGCUGGCCCGAAAUUUAUUAGCUGAUCCUAGUGAGACUUGGUUCUACUCGGCGUGAUAAUUAUCUAACGUUGAGGACAUCGCAAGAUGGCCAGAUCAAACUUUGCGGAUUGCUUCUAAUCGUCUUCACAGACAAUUUAUUAUCAAU